GCAAGACUGAGCAGACAAAAUGGGGAGCAGACUAAUGUUGAUACAAUCAUCUCUCUCCAUACACACAUACAGAGCUAUGGCGGGGGCAGUUUUUGCUUCUAAACCACUCUCUAUAUGUAGAGUGCAGCAGAAGCAGCAACGCCGCGGCGUUUCCGGUGCUAGGUCUAGUCUGGACCCUCCGGACCUCACUCGUUUGGCCCAAACCGCUCGCAUCUCACUCACUCCUGCCGAGGUUGAAGAAUUUUCUCCUAAAAUUCAGCAAGUUGUGGAUUGGUUUGGACAACUUCAAAAUGUAGAUCUUCAGAGCAUUGAACCAGCUAUUAGGGCAGAUACUGAAGAAAGCAACUGGCGUGAUGAUUUGCCUGAAACAUUUGAGAACAGGGAGGCCAUAGUAGCUGCUGUUCCAAAUUACGAGGAUUCAUACAUAAAAGUUCCAAAAGUCUUGAACAAAGAGUAGACAAAUUACAUGGAAUGAACUGUGGUAGUAGGAAUGAAAUGAAAAUUGUAGUGUUGGUAGCUUCAGAAACAGUAAAUGCAAUGACAAAUUGAGAACCAAGAAAGUGAAGCGUUGGCAAUUGCAGUCAGAUAUUCUCGGAGGCACGCAUGGCAAGUAUAAUUGUUGAUUGUAUCCAGAUCUGAUAUUUGAAAAUGCAAAUAAAUAUUCUUGGAUAUACAAUAGUUCGAACCAAAUUAUUUAUAUGUUGAUGAUCUUCCAGGCACAUUUAGCUUUUCUUUGUAACAGCACAUAAAAUAAUACAAGAUCUGUAUCUGCUUAUAUAUGACAAAGUAGGUUAACUAUUUGAGCA
RNA transcript from Daucus carota subsp. sativus, 806 nucleotides. It is a transcript of the gene named glutamyl-tRNA(Gln) amidotransferase subunit C, chloroplastic/mitochondrial, with no coding region annotated. Lineage: Eukaryota; Viridiplantae; Streptophyta; Magnoliopsida; Apiales; Apiaceae. The transcript has 7 exons. The record is from RefSeq and is a predicted model, not a curated record.